RNAcentral lists this long non-coding RNA (733 nucleotides) under Bemisia tabaci. Its description in RNAcentral is "lncRNA ENSSSA3NGG011455". Lineage: Eukaryota; Metazoa; Arthropoda; Insecta; Hemiptera; Aleyrodidae. The record is from RNAcentral.
GAUUCAAAGAAUCUCAACUUUUUGGUUCUAGCAAGGUAUCAUUUUAUUUUUUAUUGCAGAUUUAAAAGACGAACAGUAUGAGCAGAAGCUUGCUGAGAUAGCGAAUGGAGUCCAAAGGAGCAAAUCACUGGAUUGCGAACACAUUAGGGAAGUGGUAGCAUCUUUAGAUGAAAGUCUGUACGAUAAGGUGUCUUCAACUCCGACUUCGAAACGAGGUAAGGAGUUCGAGGAUCUGCCGCAGUUCAGACCGGAUCAAAUGGGAGGUUCAAUAAACAAACGUAGACUGUUGGCUCCUUUGCUGACCCUGACUCUUCCGUCGACAGAGGAACUGCGAGCAGGGAUACCGACAGUGCCCUCAACGUCUUCCAAAUCACCGUCCCCCCAGUCCGCCCAGUUCUCUACUCCCAAGGAUGCUUUCCCUUUCAGGGACGAUACUCAAUCGGCGCUGUUUGACAACAAGGAAGUUUUGCCGCCGUCUCGCUUGUCAAAAUGGUCCAAAGUUAAGAACGCAUUCCUGACGUCAACAAUUCCUUCCUCAUCGAGCGUCCACGUCAGCUCUUCCGUUCCGUCCAGUCCCAGCCGGGUUUCCAGUUUUAUUUACGAUUUAGAACCUGACGAUUUAGAGGGUGGAGAUUCAGGGGAGGACGCAAGGAAAGAUGACGUGUUCCCGGAAGAUAGCCGAGUGGACGUUCAAAAGACGUACAGACAGCUCCAGAUGAAACUUAGUGCUGAA